RNAcentral lists this ribosomal RNA (497 nucleotides) under uncultured bacterium. RNAcentral's name for it is "partial 16S ribosomal RNA". It matches the Rfam family "Bacterial small subunit ribosomal RNA", at positions 28 to 507 of the family's 1533-position model. The record is from RNAcentral.
GAUGAACGCUGGCGGCGUGCCUAACACAUGCAAGUCGAGCGAAAAGGCGCGGCUCUUGCUGCUUGCACGUUGGCGGCGGGCGGGUGAGUCACCCGUGGAUACCCUCCCUCUCAGACUGAGUUCUCUUCGGCCCAGCGGAGAUCACAGCGGCUCAUCUAUUGCACCGCAUGGUUCAUUAGAGAUUGCCGGUUUUGCUGUCACGUAUCGCUGUUUCCUCGCCGCAUUAGCUAGUUGGUAAGGUAACGGCUUACCAAGGCUACGAUGCGUAGCCGACUGGACAGGGGGAUAGGCCACCCUGGAACUGAGACACGGCCCAGACUCCUACGGGAGGCAGCAGUAGGGAAUCUUCCGCAAUGGGGGAAAGCCUGACGCAGCGACGCCGAGUGUGAGAUGAAGGCCUUCGGAUCGUAAAACUCUGUUAGGAGGGAAGAACAAAUGUGUAAUUAACCAUGCACGGAUUGACGGUACCUAAUCAAAAAGCCACGGCUAACUACGUG